Molecule: long non-coding RNA, 515 nt
Organism: Leopardus geoffroyi (Geoffroy's cat)
Lineage: Eukaryota; Metazoa; Chordata; Mammalia; Carnivora; Felidae
Exons: 3
Source: RefSeq, a predicted model, not a curated record
CUGUUCUAGCCCAGAGUCCCCCAUCAGGAACUUUCUCUGUAUUAGGCAGCCCCCAAAAAGCUAUUUUUGUGACCUAAAGAAAAAAUGGCUCACUGAAACAGAACUUUGCUGAUCUGGUUUCAGAGAAUUCUACGAGAUGAAACAUUCCAUGGAACUCAACACAGAACGGGCAUAUCUGGUUGAUGUUCACUGUUGGCUGAGAUCUUGUCUGGAAACUCGGCUGGAACAUCUAGAGCUGUCUUCUUUGUACUUGGACUUUCCCAUGGUGUGGUAGCUGGGUUCCAAAAGCAAGCAUUUCAACAGAACCAGGCAGAAGCUGUGAACUUCCUGUGAACUAGUUUUGGAAGUACAUAGUGUCACUUCCACCGUUAGUCAUAAACCCUCCCACAUUCAAGAAGGGAACCUAGAUUUCCGUAUCUUUUUUAAAAAGAUUUUAUUUUUAAGUGAUCUUUCCACCCAACGUGGGGCUGGAACUCACAACCCUGAGAUCAAGAGUCACAUGCUCCUCCGAUUGA